CCCGCGGCUCCGCUCCAUCCUGGAGCUCUGCUCUGUCAGCCUGCUCCAUCCUGGAGCUCUGCUCUGUCCUGGAGCUCUGCUCCAUCUGUCAGCCCGCUCCAUCCUGCAGCUCUGCUCUGUCCUGCAGCUCUGCUCCAUCCUGGAGCUCUGCUUUGUCCUGCAGCUCUGCUCUGUCUGUCAGCCUGCUCCAUCCUGCAGCUCUGCUCCAUCUGUCAGCCCGCUCCGUUCUGGAGCAUUGCUUCAUCGCGGAGCUCUGUCUGUCAACCUGCUCCGUCCUGGAGCAUUGCUCCAUCCUGGAGCUCUGCUCCAUCUGUCAGCCUGCUCUGUCCUGGAGCUCUGCUCCAUCCAUCAGCCCACUCCAUCCUGGAGCUCUGCUCUGUCCAUCAGCCCGCUCUGCCUGUCAGCCCACUCCGUCCUGGAGCUCUGCUCAUCUCGCCUCUCCGAAGGGCCCAGCCAGUGGUGCCRGCCGGGGCUUCCCAGUGGGAAGCAGUCCCGGAACCCCAGGCAGCCGGAGGGAACCAGGGAAUACCGUCUUCCCCGGAGCUGUGCUAGUGACUGGGCUAGAGCCAGGGCUGUCACCGCGCCUUGGAAAAAAGGCAAAGCCACCGGCGGACUGCCUGAGCCUGCCCGAGCUAACGUCCCCUCAGCCACGGGACGCAGAGCCACAGGAUGGGCCUUGGCUCGGGGAGGGUGACGGGGGGACAUCCAGCGGUGACAGGCCUGGUGACAGGUCUGGGGGAUGACAGGAGGGACACUGGGCAGUGACAGACCUGCGGGAGGUGGCAUUAGGGACACUGGGCAGUGGCAGGCCUGGAGCUGGUGACAGGGGGAACACCAGGUCUUGGCAGACCCAGUGGGGGGGACAGGAGGGACACUGUGUGGUGGCAGACCCAGGAGAGUGACAUCAGGGACACUGGGCAGUAGCAUGCACCCAGGGGGGUGACACUGAAGACACUGCGUGGUGGCAGGCCCAGAGCUGGUGACAUUGUGGACACGGGGCACGGCAGGCCCAUGGGGGGGUGACACUGGUGACACAAGAUGGCGGCCAGUCCAG
RNAcentral lists this long non-coding RNA (1054 nucleotides) under Dromaius novaehollandiae (emu). RNAcentral's name for it is "lncRNA (ENSDNVG00000012779.1)". Lineage: Eukaryota; Metazoa; Chordata; Aves; Casuariiformes; Dromaiidae. The record is from RNAcentral.